GAAAGUAUCCUUCGGGAUGCGAGUAGCGCGGCGGAAGGGUGAGUAAUGCAUGGGUAACGUACCCCAGGCACGAGGAUAGCCCACCGAAAGGUGGAGUAAUACUCGAUGAGACCACCAGACUCGUGUGUAUGCACGAGUCAGCGGUCAAAGGGUGGGGAUCCCGACUUCGGUCGGGACCUGCCGGCCUGGGAGCGGCCCAUGUCCCAUCAGCUUGUUGGUAGGGUAAUGGCCUACCAAGGCGACGACGGGUAGCCGGACUGAGAGGUUGGCCGGCCACACUGGGACUGAGACACUGCCCAGACUCCUACGGGAGGCUGCAGGGAUGAAUCUUCCGCAAUGGGCGAAAGCCUGACGGAGCGACGCCGCGUGCGGGAAGAAGCCCUUCGGGGUGUAAACCGCUGUCAAGGGCUACCAAGCAAAUCCCCCUAAUACGGGGAGGCGUUGAGGAGCCCUAAAGGAAGCCACGGCUAACUUCGUGCCAGCAGCCGCGGUAAGACGAAGGUGGCGAGCGUUGUUCGGAAUCACUGGGCUUAAAGAGCACGUAGGCGGCCUGAUAAGCGCCGAGUGAAAUCCCUCGGCCUAACCGAGGAACUGCUCGGCGAACUGUCAGGCUUGAGGCAGGUAGAGGCGUGCGGAACUCUUGGUGGAGCGGUGAAAUGCGUAGAUAUCAAGAGGAACGCCGGUGGCGAAGGCGGCACGCUGGGCCU
RNAcentral lists this ribosomal RNA (707 nucleotides) under uncultured bacterium. Its description in RNAcentral is "bacterial SSU rRNA". It matches the Rfam family "Bacterial small subunit ribosomal RNA", at positions 69 to 736 of the family's 1533-position model. The record is from RNAcentral.